GAUGAACGCUGGCGGCGUGCCUAAUACAUGCAAGUCGAGCGAACAGACGAGGAGCUUGCUCCUCUGACGUUAGCGGCGGACGGGUGAGUAACACGUGGAUAACCUACCUAUAAGACUGGGAUAACUUCGGGAAACCGGAGCUAAUACCGGAUAACAUGUUGAACCGCAUGGUUCAACAGUGAAAGACGGUCUUGCUGUCACUUAUAGAUGGAUCCGCGCCGCAUUAGCUAGUUGGUACGGUAACGGCUUACCAAGGCAACGAUGCGUAGCCGACCGGAGAGAGUGAUCGGCCACACUAGAACUGAGACACGGUCCAGACUCCUACGGGAGGCAGCAGUAGGGAAUCGUCCGCAAUGGUCGAAAGCCUGACGGAGCAACGCCGCGUGAGUGAAGAAGGUCUUCGGAUCGUAAAACUCUGUUAUUAGGGAAGAACAAAUGUGUAAGUAACUAUGCACGGCUUGACGGUACCUAGUCAGAAAGCCACGGCUAACUACGUG
This 497-nucleotide ribosomal RNA is filed under the name uncultured bacterium. RNAcentral describes it as "partial 16S ribosomal RNA". It matches the Rfam family "Bacterial small subunit ribosomal RNA", at positions 28 to 507 of the family's 1533-position model. The record is from RNAcentral.